AGAGUCCGGUUCACAACAAAUAUUCAAUUUUAUUUUUUUGCAAAAGGAAAAAAAUGAUUUAACAUUACAACUCGGAAUUAUCAGAACCAGUUAAAAUCACUACAAUUGGCAGCAUAAAUGAUCCAAUUCACAACAAGCAUUCAAUUCUAAUCAGAUGAAAAUCCGAUUCGAUUUAAUAUUACAAGUCGGAAUUAUAAGGACUAGUAAGAAUCGCUAUAAUUGGCAGCAUAAAUGGUUCGAUUCACAACAAGUAUU
This 255-nucleotide unclassified non-coding RNA is filed under the name Hevea brasiliensis (rubber tree). The record is from RNAcentral. Lineage: Eukaryota; Viridiplantae; Streptophyta; Magnoliopsida; Malpighiales; Euphorbiaceae.